RNAcentral lists this long non-coding RNA (485 nucleotides) under Polistes fuscatus (common paper wasp). Its description in RNAcentral is "uncharacterized LOC122523351". Lineage: Eukaryota; Metazoa; Arthropoda; Insecta; Hymenoptera; Vespidae. The record is from RNAcentral.
GUAGUUUUUUUCUAAAAAAUUUUGAUUUAUACGAAAUGUUUUAUUCAUGUUUUUAAACUCUAUUUUAUGAUGAGGAUUUUUAAUUUGAAUAAUUAAUGAUAUGCAUUUAUUCGUCACUACCGCUGAAAAUAUAGUUUGACAUAAUAAAAUAAAAUAUCUACGAACAUUCAUAAUAAUUACCCUUAUACCAAAUUUAUUUAUUACAGGUGGAAUAGUAUCUGAUCUUAUUUUUUUUCUCAGCAUUCCGCAUGGUAAUAAAAAAGAAAUUUAUGUUUACCAUAAACAUUUCACAUCAAAGAAUGGAACUAUUUUAUUUAAAAGACUUACACUUUUGGUGGAAUAUUGUUUAAUUUAUCUACAUGUUAAAUGUUAUAAAUUGAAGAUUUUUAUCUUAUAUAUAUAUGCAACUGAUGUAUUUAAGACGAUUAAAAUGCAUCAAUUUUGUUUAAGAUAAAAAAAAAUAAAGAUGUUUUGUAAAAAAUGUA